Long non-coding RNA from Malurus melanocephalus (red-backed fairy wren), 3549 nucleotides. RefSeq lists it as uncharacterized. The transcript has 4 exons. The record is from RefSeq and is a predicted model, not a curated record. NCBI's taxonomy places the organism in Eukaryota, Metazoa, Chordata, Aves, Passeriformes, Maluridae.
CUGACACAGCCCAGCUGAUGGCUCGGUGGUGGCACAAAASCAGGGAGAGCACUCUGGUGUGCACCGGUGGCAGCCACUGCUCCAACAAACAGCAUUAGAAACUUAGCAGGUGAAUAUGCAGUGGUGUUGCAGAUAUAUUCUUUAUUUUUGGCAUAAAGAACAAGCUGAGGCCUGAGAAUUUACCAGGGCCAGCAUCUGACUCUUGAAUUGUCUGAUCUUCUUGUACUGUGUCUGAGGAUGGAAAGCUGAAAGAAGCUGUUUACCUUCAGGUUGCAAUAUAGACUCCUUUAAAGCGCCUUUUUUGAGAAGAGCAUGUGUUAAAUAUUUUUGGGGCCAGCACUGUGAGGUUGGCUCAGCCUCCAGAAGCACUUUCCAAAGCUUGUUGUCCAGAAUAGCGUGCUCUAAAAAUGCAUUGCAUCCCCCUGCACUAACUGGUCUGACCUACUCUAGCCAUACAAGAGGCUUUUUCUUUCAGCUCGGGUGAGAUCCAUAUUAAGAUCUGUAUUUCUUGCACACUGCAACAGCUUCUUUUUCUUCCUUGCUUCCUGGUAGGCACCUCYAGUGCCUGUCUCCGUGUUGGAUGAGAGCCUGUGGGGCGUUCAGGGAGUGCAGGUCUGGCCUGUGUAUCACCCUGUCACCAGGACUGAGCUGGGAGAAGUCAGUACAUACGCACAGCUUGGAGCAAUGCGUGCUGUGCUUGGGGGAUGGGAGGUUUGAAACCUUGACUGUUAUUUUAUCUGCAGUUUAGCAUGGCUCAGGUUUGUCAGCAAAACACCACAGUCCUGAAAUUUCAAGCCUGAGGCGGAGCUGGGAAGAACAUCCUAGAGCUCCUGAGUUUCUGUUUAGGGCUUUGGACACAGCUUCAGACAAAGAUUCUCUCUUCCUGAAAGGACAGAGAUAUCGAAGUGCAAUAUUUACAUCAGUUAUGUGAAGUCCACUCAGACCUAUUCAGCCCCCUGCUUCUGCAUAAUUUUUUUUUGGCAAGCAUUAACUAAAAAGGAAGGGAGUAACUCUUGCUUGAAAUUAUUUUUCUCCCUGCUCCUGUGUCCCGCCCCCAGGCGCCCCAUGGCAGGUGUUACAGAGGCGAAAACCAGCUCUCCUGCACAGAGAGAUUAGCAGCACACAAAAUCAUCUCUCUCCUCCUUGUGCACCYCAGAGCCCAGAAACUCCCCCAUCUCUCCAGCCUUGCAGCCCAGCUGUCCCAAACCCCAGACAGCAGGGAUGGAUAACUGUAGGCUGCUCCCUGCACUGCAGCCCAGUUGAUGGAGGAGAUAAUGGGAAUGAUUUCUUCUUGCAAGUACAAGCAUGAAUCCUCUGAAGAAAUAUUAAGUCUGGAUGUGGUGGAAAAAAAAAAAAAGAAAAAUAAAUGCACACACGUGCACACACACAACCUCGACCUCAUGUAAUGUUGGAGGGCUUGGUUGUGUCUGACUUUUUUUCUCAGCUGCUGGUCCUUGAACUCCUCCCAACGUGGCUCCACCACUGGAGCAACAGCUGGCGUGCUGAGGUGCACUUCAGGGCUGCCAGCUCGUCUCACUGCAGAUCGAGCCUUGCACUGUGUUACUGGGGGAUUUCCUUAAAGCCUUUGAGCCUCUCUGCCAGAGUGCUCGGAUUGUGUGAGAAUUGUGCCUUUUGAUGGAAGAAAAAGUGGGUGGGGGGAAGAUAAUUAAGAAAAAAUGUUUCUAGCACUCAGGAUUGUGGAGGAAAAUGAACAAAUAGGAAAUGAGUAUGACCUACAGUAAGUAAAAUAAUAAUCUUUUUGCCCUGAGCAGGGCUGUAUGAACUGUUUGGAUAACAUGCAGUGGAGAGGGGUGUGGAAGAAAGUGGAGCCCUGCUCAGUGCUGCAGGCCUUUUGCCACUGUAAGAGAAAGAGUAAAAACUUGCUUUGCCACUCUGGAUGCUAACUUAUGACAGGCAAUGGCUUUGGCUGUGGUGAAUAAGCCUGGUGAAGGGUCCAUCACAGAUUAACUCCUAAGCCUUAGGUGUUUUGCUAAGUGAGGUGCCAGACCAGUCUGUGGAAAUCUUGUUCUUGAAUUAUUAUUCCUUUUAAAUAUUAGACCCUGYCUGCAAAAAUGAAGUGUUUCCUGGCUUCACUUUUCAGCAUUGCUAUUCUUUCCAUCCUCUUUUGCUUCCACAGUGGGUACAGAGACAUGAGCUUUCAAUACCUGCAAGUUUCCGUCURGUUUGUUAGCAUCACUCCUCAAGAAGGGGAUUAUGAGAAGUUGGAGAUGUUGCAGUGUUUCAGGCUCAUUUGACUGUGGUGGCUGAGCUGAACCACUUCUGACUUGCCCUCCUGAGGGUGAACAGAGGACGAGGCUGUGCGCUGGGGCUGGUGACAACUCGGUUUCCACCUCUGCUGCAGCAGCCUGGCUGAGCUGGUCUUCCCAGGGGCCCAAACUAACAGAAGUCUGAGCCCUGACUGCCUAUGCCUUGGCCAGAGCAGAGCAACUCUUUGCUGAGAGAUAAUGUUGCCUUAAAGGAGAAGGCAGAUGACACCAGUGCCUGGGAUCUGGGUACUGUCGCUGAAGAAUCGAAGAGACGGGUAAGGCACGUCCACCAGUGCCUGCAGUGGAAAAUGUCAUCACCAUAAUGCUGUGCAGGGGAAGGACAGACACUGAUGGCCCAUCUCCCAUGAGUUGUGUGUUAUCAGCAGUUUCAUAACAGAGUGGUUUAGGCUUAACUCCACCUCUGCUUUUGUGUAGAUACCACUGACAGGUAAUGGUGUCRCCUGUUUAACAGUGUGACUAUACAAUCUGUGGUUAUUUCCAUUAAAAGACAACACACACUUUGUAGACACCAGGAGAUUUUUGAGGAAUUGCGUGUGUGAAAUAUAAAUUAAUGCAUUGAACUGCCUUUUGACACACAGAUGCAUGCACACGCACAAAAGCAUUGAYCAAGUUGCAAGGUCUGCUCUCUAAAAGUGGUAUUGAUUUUGAAGGUUCUGCUGCUGCUUUUUGCAGCCUUUGUCCUACCACAGAGGCAAGGAGCACCAGAGGGUUUGUCUCAUGGGGUCGAACAGCUUGGCACUUUGCACUGCAUGGCUGAAGUGUCACCAGGAGCAGAGUURUGGCAGUGUCCUGGCCCUUAGGAAGAGGUUUCUCUUUCUGUGCAGGUAGCCAAGAUUGCACUGCUGGGACAGUGGUUUGGCCAUGACAGCAGAGCGAUGAUGUAUGCUUGCUCAGCACUACCACAGCACAAGCAGUAGUUUUCUGACAUCAAAUGAAGCCCUGGCUCAGCUGGUUGGCACUGAGGCUGGGCCGGGUGCGGGGUCUUUCGGCAUUAGGAUGGAGCCUCUUUGAGACAUCAAMACAUGCAGAUCUUUCCUGCUGGCCUCCUCCCUGCCCCAUUUUCCUAUCUUUGGUGGUUGGCCCUGGCUGAAUGCUGGGUCCCCACCAAACCUGCUCUAUCACUUCCCUCCUCAGCUGGACAGGAGAGAGAAAAGGCGUCUUGAUUGAGAAGAUCAGGUAGAGAUCACUCACCAAUUACAGUCAUGGGCAAAAUAGACCUGCCUUGAGGAAUUAGUUUACUUUAUUAUCAAUCAAAUCAGAG